This 225-nucleotide long non-coding RNA is filed under the name Capsicum annuum. Its description in RNAcentral is "long non-coding RNA (CANN_LNC013892)". Lineage: Eukaryota; Viridiplantae; Streptophyta; Magnoliopsida; Solanales; Solanaceae. The record is from RNAcentral.
UGGGGUCCUCUCACCCUGUAUACUUAUCUCAAGGGCUUCUUUGUGCUCCCCCAUCUCAAAAUCCAUACUAACUCCAAUAUUUCCUCCUUUUCUAUUAGUAGGCUCUACAUGAACUAAUAGGCCUUCAGACAAGGGUGGGAUCACUAUCAAAGGUGUACAGGUCCUUUGUGUAAGGAUCGAGUUUUCCAGAUCCUUGAUCAUACAUGUAUGGACCACACCCGCCAC